This 404-nucleotide ribosomal RNA is filed under the name Actinomycetes bacterium. RNAcentral's name for it is "Actinobacteria bacterium partial 16S ribosomal RNA". It matches the Rfam family "Bacterial small subunit ribosomal RNA", at positions 355 to 776 of the family's 1533-position model. The record is from RNAcentral. Lineage: Bacteria; Bacillati; Actinomycetota; Actinomycetes.
UGGGGAAUAUUGGACAAUGGGCGCAAGCCUGAUCCAGCCAUGCCGCGUGAGUGAUGAAGGCCCUAGGGUUGUAAAGCUCUUUCACCGGUGAAGAUAAUGACGGUAACCGGAGAAGAAGCCCCGGCUAACUUCGUGCCAGCAGCCGCGGUAAUACGAAGGGGGCUAGCGUUGUUCGGAUUUACUGGGCGUAAAGCGCACGUAGGCGGACUUUUAAGUCAGGUGUGAAAUCCCGGGGCUCAACCCCGGAACUGCCUUUGAUACUGGAAGUCUUGAGUAUGGUAGAGGUGAGUGGAAUUCCGAGUGUAGAGGUGAAAUUCGUAGAUAUUCGGAGGAACACCAGUGGCGAAGGCGGCUCACUGGACCAUUACUGACGCUGAGGUGCGAAAGCGUGGGGAGCAAACAGG